AGCAGCCGCGGUAAUUCCAGCUCCAAUAGCGUAUAUUAAAGUUGUUGCAGUUAAAAAGCUCGUAGUUGAAUUUCGGGGUUAGUAGGUUGGUCGUGCCUCAGGUAUGUACUGAUCUCACUGAUUCCUCCCUCCUGAUGAACCGUAAUGCCAUUAAUUUGGUGUUGCGGGGAAACUGGACUGUUACUUUGAAAAAAUUAGAGUGUUUAAAGCAGGCUAACGCUUGAAUACAUUAGCAUGGAAUAAUGAAAUAGGACGUUCGAUCCUAUUUUGUUGGUUUCUAGGAUUGACGUAAUGAUUAAUAGGGAUAGUUGGGGGCAUUAGUAUUCAAUUGUCAGAGGUGAAAUUCUUGGAUUUAUUGAAGACUAACUACUGCGAAAGCAUUUGCCAAGGAUGUUUUCAUUAAUCAAGAACGAAAGUUAGGGAUCGAAGACGAUCAGAUACCGUCGUAGUCUUAACCAUAAACUAUAGACCGACUAGGGAUCGGAUGAUGUACUAAUUUUUUAAUGUACUCAUUCGGCGU
Molecule: ribosomal RNA, 520 nt
Filed under: uncultured Glomus
Lineage: Eukaryota; Fungi; Glomeromycota; Glomeromycetes; Glomerales; Glomeraceae
Description: SSU rRNA
Rfam family: Eukaryotic small subunit ribosomal RNA
Source: RNAcentral